Molecule: ribosomal RNA, 433 nt
Filed under: uncultured bacterium
Lineage: Bacteria
Description: partial 16S ribosomal RNA
Rfam family: Bacterial small subunit ribosomal RNA
Source: RNAcentral
AACGAACGCUGGCGGCAUGCCUAACACAUGCAAGUCGAACGAGACCUUCGGGUCUAGUGGCGCACGGGUGCGUAACGCGUGGGAACCUGCCCUUAGGUUCGGAAUACCUCCCCGACAGGGGUGCUAAUACCGGAUAAUGUCUUCGGACCAAAGAUUUAUCGCCUUUGGAUGGGCCCGCGUUGGAUUAGCUAGUUGGUAGGGUAAAAGCCUACCAAGGCGACGAUCCAUAGCUGGUCUGAGAGGAUGAUCAGCCACACUGGGGCUGAGACACGGCCCAGACUCCUACGGGAGGCAGCAGUGGGGAAUAUUGGACAAUGGGCGAAAGCAUGAUCCAGCAAUGACGCGUGAGUGAUGAAGGCAUUAGGGUUGUAAAGCUCUUUUAACCGGGAUGAUAAUGACAGUACCGGGAGAAUAAGCUCCGGCUAACUCCGUG